CAGGAUGAGACGAGUUUCUCUGCAGCAGGUUCGGGUCGAACGCAGUGAGACAACGGAGCCGCUUGCGGCGACGGCCCGAAGGGCGAGGCGAAGCCGAGUCAUCCUG
RNAcentral lists this small RNA (106 nucleotides) under Klebsiella pneumoniae. RNAcentral's name for it is "RtT sRNA". It matches the Rfam family "RtT RNA", at positions 18 to 118 of the family's 130-position model. From Rfam's summary of the family: This family represents a bacterial cis-regulatory element known as RtT RNA. The exact function of RtT is unknown although it is thought that it may be involved in changing the cellular response in relation to amino acid starvation. The record is from RNAcentral. RNAcentral also lists the same sequence under 1 other name. Lineage: Bacteria; Pseudomonadati; Pseudomonadota; Gammaproteobacteria; Enterobacterales; Enterobacteriaceae.